This 1946-nucleotide ribosomal RNA is filed under the name human vaginal metagenome. RNAcentral's name for it is "bacterial LSU rRNA". It matches the Rfam family "Bacterial large subunit ribosomal RNA", at positions 3 to 2006 of the family's 2925-position model. The record is from RNAcentral.
UCAAGUUAAAAAGAGCAUUAGGCGGAUGCCUAGGCACCAAGAGGCGAAGAAGGACGUGACAAGCUGCGAAAAGCUGCGGAAAGGAGCAAAUAUCCAAUGAUCCGCAGAUAUCCGAAUGGGGAAACCCGAUCAAAAGAUCAUCUCAUACCCAAACAAAUAAGUAUGAGAAGCGAACCCGGCGAACUGAAACAUCUAAGUAGCCGGAGGAAAAGAAAGAAAACUCGAUGUCCCAAGUAGCGGCGAGCGAACAGGACAAAGCCCAAAAGGACAAACGAUAAGAAUAGUUAGUCGAAUAAUCUGGAAAGAAUAACCAAAGAAGGUAACAGUCCCGUAGACGAAAACGAAAAAUAAUCAGUCCGAAAGAGUACCACGAGACACGAGAAAUCUUGUGGGAAGACGGGGGGACCACCCCCCAAGGCUAAAUACUACUUGGUGACCGAUAGCGAACAAGUACCGUGAGGGAAAGGUGAAAAGAACCCCGGGAGGGGAGUGAAAAAGAAACUGAAACCUAAUGUUUACAAGCAGCGAAAAUGGCAAAAGCCAUGAUCGUGUACUUUUUGUAGAACGGGCCAGCGAGUUAUGAUCAUAAGCAAGGUUAAGACACUAAGAGUCGGAGCCGUAGGGAAACCGAGUCUAAAAAGGGCGAAAGUUAAUGGUCAUAGACCCGAAACCGUGUGAUCUAUCCAUGGGCAGAGUGAAGUUGAAGUAAAAUUCAAUGGAGGCUCGAACCGGGUAGCGUUUAAAAGCUAUCGGAUGACCUGUGGAUAGGGGUGAAAAGCCAAACGAACACGGAGAUAGCUGGUUCUCCUCGAAAUAGCUUUAGGGCUAGCCUUUAACAGAGUGAAGUGGGGGUAGAGCACUGAAUAGUCAAAGGGCGUUAAACGUUACUAAGACCUAUCAAACUCCGAAUACCAACUCACACGUUAAGGAGUCAGACUAUGUGGGAUGAGCUUCAUAGUCAAAAGGGAAAGAGCCCAGACCACCAGCUAAGGUCCCAAAAUACUGAUUAAGUGGAAAAGGAUGUGGAGUUACUGAGACAACUAGGAUGUUGGCUUAGAAGCAGCCAUGCAUUAAAAGAGUGCGUAAUAGCUCACUAGUCAAGUGACCCUGCGCCGAAGAUAACCGGGGCUAAAUCAGAUACCGAAGCUGUGGAAUUAUAUAAAAUAUAAUUGGUAGAGGAGCAAUGUAUAAACGAAGAAGCAAAAGGCGUAAGCCAUUGUGGAGUAAAUACAAGAGAGAAUGCUGGCAUGAGUAGCGAGAAGUGAGUGAGAAUCUCACCCGUCGAAAACCUAAGGAAUCCUGAGGAAGGCUCGUCCACUCAGGGUAAGUCGGGACCUAAGGCAAGGCCGAAAGGCGUAGUCGAUGGACAACAAGUUGAAAAUCUUGUACCGAUAUCAAGCGAUAAAAAGUAAGUGGGGACGCAGGAGGAUAAGCGGAGCGCCCAGUUGGUGAGGCGUGCAAGCACAAAGUAUGAGAAGUAGGCAAAACCGCUUCUCGAGAAGUAUGAAGUGUGAUGCGGAUCGAAAAUAAGUAGAGAAGGAGCCGACUCCACACUGCCAAGAAAAGCCACUAUCAAGCAAGAUAUCGCCCGUACCGCAAACCGACACAGGUAGGUGAGGAGAGAAUCCUAAGACGAGCGGAAGAACCUUUGUUAAGGAACUCGGCAAAAUGACCCCGUAAGUUAGCGAGAAGGGGAGCCUAGCCAGAAAUGGAAGGCCGCAGUGAAAAGGCCCAAGCGACUGUUUACCAAAAACACAAGUUUCUGCAAAGUCGAAAGACGAAGUAUAGGAGCUGACACCUGCCCGGUGCUGGAAGGUUAAGGGAAAGAGUUAGCGCAAGCGAAGCUCAGAACUGAAGCCCCAGUAAACGGCGGCCGUAACUAUAACGGUCCUAAGGUAGCGAAAUUCCUUGUCGGGUAAGUUCCGACCCGCACGAAAGGUGUAACG